AAUGGGCGCAAGCCUGAUCCAGCCAUGCCGCGUGAGUGAAGAAGGCCUUCGGGUUGUAAAGCUCUUUCGGUUGGGAAGAAAUUGCUUGGGUUAAUACCCCAAGUAGAUGACGGUACCAGCAUAAGAAGCACCGGCUAACUACGUGCCAGCAGCCGCGGUAAUACGUAGGGUGCGAGCGUUAAUCGGAAUUACUGGGCGUAAAGCGUGCGCAGGCGGUUGUAUAAGUCAGAUGUGAAAUCCCCGGGCUCAACCUGGGAACUGCAUUUGAGACUGUACGGCUAGAGUGUGGCAGAGGGGGGUGGAAUUCCACGUGUAGCAGUGAAAUGCGUAGAGAUGUGUAGGAACACCGAUGGCGAAGGCAGCCCCCUGGGCCAAUACUGACGCUCAUGCACGAAAGCGUGGGGAGCAAA
Molecule: ribosomal RNA, 410 nt
Filed under: uncultured bacterium
Lineage: Bacteria
Description: bacterial SSU rRNA
Rfam family: Bacterial small subunit ribosomal RNA
Source: RNAcentral